RNAcentral lists this ribosomal RNA (253 nucleotides) under uncultured bacterium. RNAcentral's name for it is "partial 16S ribosomal RNA". It matches the Rfam family "Bacterial small subunit ribosomal RNA", at positions 524 to 776 of the family's 1533-position model. The record is from RNAcentral.
UACGGAGGGUGCAAGCGUUAUCCGGAUUCACUGGGUUUAAAGGGUGCGUAGGCGGGCAGGUAAGUCCGUGGUGAAAUCUCCGAGCUUAACUCGGAAACUGCCAUGGAUACUAUUUGUCUUGAAUACUAUGAAGGUGAGCGGAAUAUGUCAUGUAGCGGUGAAAUGCUUAGAUAUGACAUAGAACACCAAUUGCGAAGGCAGCUCACUGCGCAGUGAUUGACGCUGAGGCACGAAAGCGUGGGGAUCAAACAGG